UUGGGGUUGCUUUUAGUUCUCACUGCUCUAGUCUGUUCUAAAUAGGCAGUGAAAUACAUUAAACUUCCUUAUGCUGAGUUAGUUUUGCCCGUUAUGGUAACUGUUGAAUGAUGUCUCUGUCCUUAUGUUAGUCCAUAAGGGUUUUUCAUGCUGUUUUCUCCCCCGUCCUUUGGAAGAGUGGGAAUGCGAGCCAAUGUGAUGGUGCUGAGCUACCUACUGGUGCCCAAGCACCACCGAGGGAGAGAAGUAUACCUCUCAAUUAAGUUCCUCAAAUACUACAUGAAGAAAAAUGUUUAUAAACUGUAGUUUUGUUGACAGCUCCUUAUCACUGAUGUUGCUUUCUGCUCUAUCCUUGACCAGUCUGAAAAAAAGAGUGAGUCUUGUAAAAAUCUAGAAAAUACCAUUUUUCAUCUACUGUUGAGUACAGUCUUCAGGGUGGUUGUUGGUUUUUGUUGUUGUUGUUGUUCGUUUUCUGUGUUCUUGUUGUUCCUGGUUUUCCUUUGAGGCUGUAUGGAAGUUGGAGAUUCCCUGAAUUCUUAAAUGUGAACCAAGGAGGUGAAGACCCAAAGACCAAGCCACUUGUUUGUUCAAAGUGAGAUACUGUUACUAAUGGCUCAAAGAUGCAAGCUGACCACACAGUUUUUGGCACAGUUACCAUUUUAGUUAAAAAUCUGCGUACCUGUGGAAAGUCUGAGAGGCAUCUUGCUGCUACUAAUGAACUUUAUCUUUACAAAGUACUACCUACAGAUGAAACUCCCUUGUGAAACUUCAUUUAAGCUGAGCAAGUGAAUAUUUGGCAAUACCACUGAUGUCUGUUUGCAGGGGUGCAGCGAGGAAUCAUGAUUAAAAGUGGUUCAAAGAGCUGAUUGGAAAGGGGACCAGGAUACCUCCCCAGGCAGCUGUGGGCAAGAUGGUUACCAGGUAGGGUAAUUACCUUGUCAGUACCGUGCUGAACAGUCCUGAGGAGGUGAGUAUAGAAAGGCCAGUGGUGACUUUGGCUGUCAUAGUCAGUAGCAUUAAGGACCAUAACGAAAAAUGGCCACACUGAUAAGGAGAGAUUCUAGAAAUACAGGGAGAAAGAAACAUCAAGCGCAGGCUAGAGAGGAGAAAGGGAUACAAAGAUGCUGUGGUCAGUGUCAUAACCAUGGUAUCACUAAAGAAGAAUAAUCUGAGCUUGUUUUUGGCCAUGUUGUAUAUAAAAGGCUUGAAGAAUAUCUGAAAAAAAGAUAGAAUCAGGUUAGGAUACAGAACUCAAUAAAAGACCAACUAAAACAUGAUCAAUUUCUUUGUGAAUGCUUCAUGUGAACUGCAUUUGAGGCAUGUGAGUAGGUAAAAUUUUGGGGAGAAGAGGGCCUCGUUGGACCUUACAGAAGUAAGAAUCCAAUCCACUAGGGAAACUUUCAACAUAAUGUGUGUGUGUGCAUACACUAGCUUUCGGAAGCUUUGUCCCUUUUAGUCCUUGUUCGCUUUUCCAUUUCAGAGAACAGGAUGGUGCAAACUUGCUGGCUGCAAUAGUGCUGUGUGUGUACAAAGUUAAGGUUUUGUACAGGUAUUACAGAGACGUUUAUGCUCUGUAAACUCAGUUUUAUACAAGUGUUUCUGUACCUGCAGCUCGGCAAUAUCAUGGUAAGUGUGUGAAGAACGUAAGCCAGAAUUGCUCAAAAGCAGCUGAGGACAGGCAGUGAAGGCUAAAGCAGCUUGUUAGUUCUGUGCAGCCAGCUGCAUCAGAGGUGCAAAUGAGGACAAGAAUGAAGUACACUUGCUUGUGCCAAAAGGCUCUGCUGCCAGCUGCCUUCACGAGUGGCCACUGCUUUUUUUCCCCUUGGAGGCUAAAUUCAGGUGUCCCUUUUGAGAAAGGGCAGGGGGAAGUAUCUGGGUUUGAGCACUCCAAGUGGGAGUGAGUCCGGGAUCCGAGCAACCCCUCCAGAACCAAUGCGUGAUUAAAUGCAGGAAAACUGCUUCUCAUUUGUUGUUUGUGUUAAGUUCACCAUCUGGUCACUGGAUCUUGCUAAACGCCUUUGUAUGCAAGAUGAAGACGCCCCCGGUUUCAGCCAGCUUCUCCUAUUACAGAUAUAUAGCAAGCUGGCCACCUUUCAGUCCUCCUCUUCACUAAUUAGUUCAGGCUGUUGAACUUGGGCUGCAACAAUGCAAUCAAUGAAAGGCAGCUAGAUGUAAGGGGACACAGCCGUAUGUAAAGUAAGACACCUGAGGUGGGACAUGAGAAAAUUCCAUUAGGUACAUUCAGUGUACAGGAUUUAGUCAGGUCCUGUUUUAUGAAGAGAGAAAAUGACAAACUAUGCUUGUAAUGUAAGGAAUGAAGCUAGAAGUUGAGAAAAUUAAAGGAGGGAACAAAGAAUCAGAAGCUAAAACAGAAACUGAAGCAGGGAAAAUGACGGCUAAGAAACAGAGAAUAUACUAUCAGCUUCCCUCUUUUUUUUUUUUUUUUUUUUUUUUUUUGAGUGUUGUCUAGUACAUCUGACAGCACUGAAGUCUGCAGUUAGCUGGUUGGCUGGCAGUUGUGUGUUACUGGAAAAAAAAAUCUGCAGUUUUUAUUUCACCCUCUUCCCCAUACCUGGAGACUGAGCUAAAAGGAUCAACUGUACACAUAAAGUCUAGGCAGACUUGUAUCCAUAUUUUUGAGUUAUUAAUGAAAGGGUUCUGCAGUUCUUCAUACUUUGACCUCAAUAACUGAGAAAGAGGAUGUCCUAGCCACAAGUUGUGUGCAAACACGUGUGUGAAAGUAUUUUCCUUUCUCCCACUUUCCUGUUUCUCUGCAGAAAAGGAGAACACUGGGUUUUGGAGUCUGAUUGAUUUCCUCAGCUAUUUUGAUAGCUCAAGGUAUUGGUAGCAAUCCCAACUAGAGGGCUGGAAGUCAAUACUGUAAAAUACUGAAGAAACACAUUGCUAAAUAGUAGUAAUGGUCAUACAGGUAAUAGCAUAAGCAUUGUGGUCUGCCAGGCAGGUACAAAACAAACUGUUACGAUAUACGAUAUAGCUAAAAUAUUUCUUAGGGCCAUGUUUUUUGUCUGGCUUAGGCCCCCUGCUGCAGCUGAGCACCUAGCUCAGUGUAACCUGUGGUGAUGCCGUGGGCAGCAGCAGGAGUGCCCAAGUGGGCACAGGGAGAGAAGGCCGAGCAGCGCUUUUUGGUUGGGUUAGCAGCCUGGGGGAUGGGGCUUCUGUUACCCAAAGCUCCCAGUGCUGUGAAUACUGGAUGCUUGAGUGAUCUGUUUUGUCUGCAGGCCCCACCAUAGCUCUGCUGGUGGCACUUCUAUUGCAUGGGCAGUUCCACAGACUGAGUCUUUCUCUGAAAGUGAAGAUACAAAAAGCUAGCAUCUGGAUCUCUCUGAUUACAAAGAUAGAGACAUUUUUCCUUUUGUUUCACUACAAAGGUAAAACAAAUGAUCUGGAUCUGGGUCUGAUCUUGGUUUAUGUUUGCCCAGAAGAAUGUUACUGCAUCCAUGGUUACAAUGUGCUUUCCUGCAUGGACCACAAGGCUUCUAAGCAUUUACUUCAGGGAUCUUUGCACUGCGUGGUGGGACCACUGAUGGAACUCCCAUGGGUUGUAAGGGCAUUUCUCUGGCUCCUUAGAUGCACGGUCCCAGAGGAGCUGGAAGUUUCUCUUUUUCGGGUAUCAGUCUAGUUUUGGCCAACUAGUAAUUACAUUUUAUCAUGUGUCAAGGGGAUGGCAAUUUCUUGUUUUCUUUUUUUUCUGGGUAGGAAGGCCAGAUUAGUGCACAACUGAAGAAGAGAAGCCAUACGUUUUGACAAGAAACA
Molecule: non-coding RNA, 3774 nt
Organism: Anas platyrhynchos (mallard)
Lineage: Eukaryota; Metazoa; Chordata; Aves; Anseriformes; Anatidae
Source: RefSeq, a predicted model, not a curated record